RNAcentral lists this ribosomal RNA (382 nucleotides) under uncultured bacterium. Its description in RNAcentral is "bacterial SSU rRNA". It matches the Rfam family "Bacterial small subunit ribosomal RNA", at positions 29 to 416 of the family's 1533-position model. The record is from RNAcentral.
AACUAACGCUGGCGGCGCGUCUUAAACAUGCAAGUCGAACGGAUGUAGCAAUACAUUAGUGGCGAACGGGUGAGUAACACGUAGGUAAUCUACCUCUGAGUCUGGAACAACCUGAUGAAAAUCAGGCUAAUACUGGAUAGUAUUAAUUUGGCGAAUGUCGGAUUAAUUAAAGCAUUUAUGCGCUGAGAGAUGAGCCUGCGGCUGAUUAGCUAGUUGGUAGGGUAAUGGCUUACCAAGGCGACGAUCAGUAGUUGGUCUGAGAGGACGGCCAGCCACACUGGGACUCGAGACACGGCCCAGACUCCUACGGGAGGCAGCAGUGGGGAAUUUUGGGACAAUGGCGCAAGCCUGAUCCAGCAAUGCCGCGUGAGUGAAGAAGGCC